RNAcentral lists this ribosomal RNA (381 nucleotides) under uncultured eukaryote. RNAcentral's name for it is "partial 18S ribosomal RNA". It matches the Rfam family "Eukaryotic small subunit ribosomal RNA", at positions 592 to 976 of the family's 1831-position model. The record is from RNAcentral.
CAAUAGCGUAUAUUAAAGUUGUUGCGGUAAAAAAGCUCGUAGUUGGAUUUCUACCGAAGAUAGCCGGUCGGGUCUUCGACCUUGUAGCUGGUUUUGUCUUUGGUAUCCUCAUAGGGAACGUUUCUGCGCUUUAUUGCGUGGUGCGGUAUCUAUGACUUUUACUUUGAGGAAAUUAGAGUGUUCACGGCAGGCAAACGCCUUGAAUAUAUUAGCAUGGAAUAAUAACAUAGGAUCUUCGUCCUAUUUUGUUGGUUUCUAGGGCUAAGAUAAUGAUUAAUAGGGAUAAUUGGGGGCAUCUGUAUCAACGCGUCAGAGGUGGAAUUCUUGGAUUGCGUUGCGACAAACUACUGCGAAAGCAUUUGCCAAGGAUGUUUUCAUUGA